Molecule: ribosomal RNA, 259 nt
Filed under: uncultured bacterium
Lineage: Bacteria
Description: partial 16S ribosomal RNA
Rfam family: Bacterial small subunit ribosomal RNA
Source: RNAcentral
UGGCGGACGGGUGAGUAACGCGUGGGUAACCUGCCUUGUACAGGGGGAUAACAGCUGGAAACGGCUGCUAAUACCGCAUAAGCGCACGAGGAGACAUCUCCUUGUGUGAAAAACUCCGGUGGUACAGGAUGGGCCCGCGUCUGAUUAGCUGGUUGGCAGGGUAACGGCCUACCAAGGCAACGAUCAGUAGCCGGUCUGAGAGGAUGAACGGCCACAUUGGAACUGAGACACGGUCCAAACUCCUACGGGAGGCAGCAUG